RNAcentral lists this unclassified non-coding RNA (499 nucleotides) under uncultured Glomus. RNAcentral's name for it is "SSU rRNA". It matches the Rfam family "Eukaryotic small subunit ribosomal RNA", at positions 591 to 1092 of the family's 1831-position model. The record is from RNAcentral. Lineage: Eukaryota; Fungi; Glomeromycota; Glomeromycetes; Glomerales; Glomeraceae.
CCAAUAGCGUAUAUUAAAGUUGUUGCAGUUAAAAAGCUCGUAGUUGAAUUUCGGGACCAAUCUGCCAGUCGUGCCUUUGGUACGCACCGGUUUUAUUGGUUUCUCCCUUCUGAAUAACCACGAUGUCAUUAAUUUGGUGUCAUGGGGAAUCAGGACUGUUACUUUGAAAAAAUUAGAGUGUUUAAAGCAGGCUCACGCUUGAAUACAUUAGCAUGGAAUAAUGAAAUAGGACGUUUGACCCUAUUUUGUUGGUUUCUAGGAUCAACGUAAUGAUUAAUAGGGAUAGUUGAGGGCAUUAGUAUUCAAUUGUCAGAGGUGAAAUUCUUGGAUUUAUUGAAGACUAACUACUGUGAAAGCAUUUGCCAAGGAUGUUUUCAUUAAUCAAGAACGAAAAUUAGGGGAUCGAAGACGAUCAGAUACCGUCGUAGUCUUAACCAUAAACUAUGCUGACUAGGGAUCAGAUGAUGUUAUUUUUUAAUGACUCAUUCGGCGCCUUACG